AGUGGCGGACGGGUUGAGUAACGCGUGAGUAACCUGCCCUUAGGAAAGGGAUAGCGUCUGGAAACGGACGGUAAUACCAUAUAAAGUAUAUUAACGGCAUCGUAGAUAUACCAAAGCUGAGGCGCCUAAGGAUGGACUCGCGUCUGAUUAGAUAGUUGGUGGGGUAACGGCCUACCAAGUCGACGAUCAGUAGCCGGACUGAGAGGUUGAACGGCCACAUUGGGACUGAGACACGGCCCAGACUCCUACGGGAGGCAGCAG
RNAcentral lists this ribosomal RNA (261 nucleotides) under uncultured bacterium. RNAcentral's name for it is "partial 16S ribosomal RNA". It matches the Rfam family "Bacterial small subunit ribosomal RNA", at positions 94 to 354 of the family's 1533-position model. The record is from RNAcentral.